RNAcentral lists this long non-coding RNA (343 nucleotides) under Homo sapiens (human). Its description in RNAcentral is "non-protein coding lnc-SMAD2-3:15". The record is from RNAcentral. Lineage: Eukaryota; Metazoa; Chordata; Mammalia; Primates; Hominidae.
AGGAGGACGCCAGGACUGCGUCCCGGAGCCAAGUGCGGGAGGCGCGCAGGGCCGGCGGCGCGCGGAGAAAUGAGCAGAUUUGCAGAAAAACUGGUGUCCUGAAAUUUAAAACUAAGGCAUCGGUGCUACAGAGCUGCUCUAAGCUGUGGGCCAACAGGAGGCUGGGAGCUCUCCUCUAAAUUGCUUUGUGACCUUGGACAAGAACCCUCCCCUUCCUGGACUGCAAAUUUCCUCCUCUGUAAAAUGAAGGGUUGGCUCUGGCUGAGAACAUGGCCAAUGACAUUGAUGAGCUCAUUGGCAUUCCCUUCCCCAACCACAGCAGUGAGGUCCUGUGCAGCCUCAA